GUAAAUAUAGNNUAAAAAAACCAUUAGUUUGUGANACUAAAAAUAGAAGAUAAAGCCUUCUUAUUUACC
This 69-nucleotide transfer RNA is filed under the name Orcinus orca (killer whale). RNAcentral describes it as "tRNA-His". It matches the Rfam family "tRNA". From Rfam's summary of the family: Transfer RNA (tRNA) molecules are approximately 80 nucleotides in length. Their secondary structure includes four short double-helical elements and three loops (D, anti-codon, and T loops). The record is from RNAcentral. Lineage: Eukaryota; Metazoa; Chordata; Mammalia; Artiodactyla; Delphinidae.